This 1319-nucleotide ribosomal RNA is filed under the name Bacillus velezensis. Its description in RNAcentral is "bacterial SSU rRNA". It matches the Rfam family "Bacterial small subunit ribosomal RNA", at positions 71 to 1375 of the family's 1533-position model. Lineage: Bacteria; Bacillati; Bacillota; Bacilli; Caryophanales; Bacillaceae. The record is from RNAcentral.
GAUGGGAGCUUGCUCCCUGAUGUUAGCGGCGGACGGGUGAGUAACACGUGGGUAACCUGCCUGUAAGACUGGGAUAACUCCGGGAAACCGGGGCUAAUACCGGAUGGUUGUUUGAACCGCAUGGUUCAGACAUAAAAGGUGGCUUCGGCUACCACUUACAGAUGGACCCGCGGCGCAUUAGCUAGUUGGUGAGGUAACGGCUCACCAAGGCGACGAUGCGUAGCCGACCUGAGAGGGUGAUCGGCCACACUGGGACUGAGACACGGCCCAGACUCCUACGGGAGGCAGCAGUAGGGAAUCUUCCGCAAUGGACGAAAGUCUGACGGAGCAACGCCGCGUGAGUGAUGAAGGUUUUCGGAUCGUAAAGCUCUGUUGUUAGGGAAGAACAAGUGCCGUUCAAAUAGGGCGGCACCUUGACGGUACCUAACCAGAAAGCCACGGCUAACUACGUGCCAGCAGCCGCGGUAAUACGUAGGUGGCAAGCGUUGUCCGGAAUUAUUGGGCGUAAAGGGCUCGCAGGCGGUUUCUUAAGUCUGAUGUGAAAGCCCCCGGCUCAACCGGGGAGGGUCAUUGGAAACUGGGGAACUUGAGUGCAGAAGAGGAGAGUGGAAUUCCACGUGUAGCGGUGAAAUGCGUAGAGAUGUGGAGGAACACCAGUGGCGAAGGCGACUCUCUGGUCUGUAACUGACGCUGAGGAGCGAAAGCGUGGGGAGCGAACAGGAUUAGAUACCCUGGUAGUCCACGCCGUAAACGAUGAGUGCUAAGUGUUAGGGGGUUUCCGCCCCUUAGUGCUGCAGCUAACGCAUUAAGCACUCCGCCUGGGGAGUACGGUCGCAAGACUGAAACUCAAAGGAAUUGACGGGGGCCCGCACAAGCGGUGGAGCAUGUGGUUUAAUUCGAAGCAACGCGAAGAACCUUACCAGGUCUUGACAUCCUCUGACAAUCCUAGAGAUAGGACGUCCCCUUCGGGGGCAGAGUGACAGGUGGUGCAUGGUUGUCGUCAGCUCGUGUCGUGAGAUGUUGGGUUAAGUCCCGCAACGAGCGCAACCCUUGAUCUUAGUUGCCAGCAUUCAGUUGGGCACUCUAAGGUGACUGCCGGUGACAAACCGGAGGAAGGUGGGGAUGACGUCAAAUCAUCAUGCCCCUUAUGACCUGGGCUACACACGUGCUACAAUGGACAGAACAAAGGGCAGCGAAACCGCGAGGUUAAGCCAAUCCCACAAAUCUGUUCUCAGUUCGGAUCGCAGUCUGCAACUCGACUGCGUGAAGCUGGAAUCGCUAGUAAUCGCGGAUCAGCAUGCCGCGGUGAAUACGUUCCC